RNAcentral lists this ribosomal RNA (430 nucleotides) under uncultured Alphaproteobacteria bacterium. Its description in RNAcentral is "bacterial SSU rRNA". It matches the Rfam family "Bacterial small subunit ribosomal RNA", at positions 29 to 505 of the family's 1533-position model. The record is from RNAcentral. Lineage: Bacteria; Pseudomonadati; Pseudomonadota; Alphaproteobacteria.
AACGAACGCUGGCGGCAUGCCUAACACAUGCAAGUCGAACGCUAUCUUUGAUAGAGUGGCGCACGGGUGAGUAACGCGUGGGAACCUGCCUUUUUCUGCGGGACAACGGUUGGAAACGACCGCUAAUACCGCAUACGCCCUACGGGGGAAAGGUCAGCCGCUGAAAGAGGGGCCCGCGUCUGAUUAGCUUGUUGGCAAGGUAACGGCCUACCAAGCCUACGAUCUAUAGCUGGUUUUAGAGGAUGAUCAGCAACACUGGGACUGAGACACGGCCCAGACUCCUACGGGAGGCAGCAGUGGGGAAUCUUGCACAAUGGAGGAAACUCUGAUGCAGCGAUGCCGCGUGAGUGAAGAAGGCCCUUGGGUUGUAAAGCUCUUUCGUCGGGGAAGAAAAUGACUGUACCCGAAUAAGAAGGUCCGGCUAACUUCG